GACGAACGCUGGCGGCGUGCCUAAUACAUGCAAGUAGAACGCUGAAGAGAGGAGCUUGCUCUUCUUGGAUGAGUUGCGAACGGGUGAGUAACGCGUAGGUAACCUGCCUUGUAGCGGGGGAUAACUGUUGGAAACGAUAGCUAAUACCGCAUAACAAUGGAUGACACAUGUCAUUUAUUUGAAAGGGGCAAUUGCUCCACUACAAGAUGGACCUGCGUUGUAUUAGCUAGUAGGUGGGGUAAUGGCUCACCUAGGCGACGAUACAUAGCCGAUCUGAGAGGGUGAUCGGCCACACUGGGACUGAGACACGGCCCAGACUCCUACGGGAGGCAGCAGUAGGGAAUCUUCGGCAAUGGGGGCAACCCUGACCGAGCAACGCCGCGUGAGUGAAGAAGGUUUUCGGAUCGUAAAGCUCUGUUGUAAGUCAAGAACGGGUGUGAGAGUGGAAAGUUCACACUGUGACGGUAGCUUACCAGAAAGGGACGGCUAACUACGUGCCAGCAGCCGCGGUAAUACGUAGGUCCCGAGCGUUGUCCGGAUUUAUUGGGCGUAAAGCGAGCGCAGGCGGUUUGAUAAGUCUGAAGUUAAAGGCUGUGGCUCAACCAUAGUUCGCUUUGGAAACUGUCAAACUUGAGUGCAGAAGGGGAGAGUGGAAUUCCAUGUGUAGCGGUGAAAUGCGUAGAUAUAUGGAGGAACACCGGUGGCGAAAGCGGCUCUCUGGUCUGCAACUGACGCUGAGGCUCGAAAGCGUGGGGGGCGAACAGGAUUAGAUACCCUGGUAGUCCACGCCGUAAACGAUGAGUGCUAGGUGUUGGAUCCUUUCCGGGAUUCAGUGCCGCAGCUAACGCAUUAAGCACUCCGCCUGGGGAGUACGACCGCAAGGUUGAAACUCAAAGGAAUUGACGGGGGCCCGCACAAGCGGUGGAGCAUGUGGUUUAAUUCGAAGCAACGCGAAGAACCUUACCAGGUCUUGACAUCCCGAUGCUAUUUCUAGAGAUAGAAAGUUACUUCGGUACAUCGGUGACAGGUGGUGCAUGGUUGUCGUCAGCUCGUGUCGUGAGAUGUUGGGUUAAGUCCCGCAACGAGCGCAACCCCUAUUGUUAGUUGCCAUCAUUCAGUUGGGCACUCUAGCGAGACUGCCGGUAAUAAACCGGAGGAAGGUGGGGAUGACGUCAAAUCAUCAUGCCCCUUAUGACCUGGGCUACACACGUGCUACAAUGGUUGGUACAACGAGUUGCGAGUCGGUGACGGCGAGCUAAUCUCUUAAAGCCAAUCUCAGUUCGGAUUGUAGGCUGCAACUCGCCUACAUGAAGUCGGAAUCGCUAGUAAUCGCGGAUCAGCACGCCGCGGUGAAUACGUUCCCGGGCCU
RNAcentral lists this ribosomal RNA (1369 nucleotides) under uncultured bacterium. RNAcentral describes it as "bacterial SSU rRNA". It matches the Rfam family "Bacterial small subunit ribosomal RNA", at positions 28 to 1381 of the family's 1533-position model. The record is from RNAcentral.